RNAcentral lists this ribosomal RNA (328 nucleotides) under Escherichia coli. Its description in RNAcentral is "bacterial SSU rRNA". It matches the Rfam family "Bacterial small subunit ribosomal RNA", at positions 1 to 325 of the family's 1533-position model. RNAcentral also lists the same sequence under 1 other name. Lineage: Bacteria; Pseudomonadati; Pseudomonadota; Gammaproteobacteria; Enterobacterales; Enterobacteriaceae. The record is from RNAcentral.
AAAUUGAAGAGUUUGAUCAUGGCUCAGAUUGAACGCUGGCGGCAGGCCUAACACAUGCAAGUCGAACGGUAACAGGAAGAAGCUUGCUUCUUUGCUGACGAGUGGCGGACGGGUGAGUAAUGUCUGGGAAACUGCCUGAUGGAGGGGGAUAACUACUGGAAACGGUAGCUAAUACCGCAUAACGUCGCAAGACCAAAGAGGGGGACCUUCGGGCCUCUUGCCAUCGGAUGUGCCCAGAUGGGAUUAGCUUGUUGGUGGGGUAACGGCUCACCAAGGCGACGAUCCCUAGCUGGUCUGAGAGGAUGACCAGCCACACUGGAACUGAGAC